CACACGUUCUUGGUCCUCAGGAGUAGCCUUAACACCUCUGUCAAGGGGUGCAGUUGUUUCAUAGAGCUCCUGCUUGAGGUUUCGGAAAUCAACUGCUAAUGGUGUUUCGAAACAUGGAAAUAGAGAUGCAUCUUCGAGAGCCGAGGCAAUAUAAGGCACUAAAUCUUAACCAAUAUCUGUUCAAGAUAUAGUGGUACAGUCUCAAGCUUUGUUAAAUAUCAAUGAUUCAAAUAAGGAAGAUAGGGAGAGUGGUGGUUCGAAGGUUAAAGUUUGAGGACCCUCGUCCUGAGCAAAUUCAAGAUAUUGACGUGGGACUAUUUGUUGAGGAAUAAGUAUACAUAACUCCAACUUUCUAUAACUAAUGAGUUAUAUUAAAAGCGAGUGUAAUUUGCAUUAUGAUAUGAUGAAGUAUUUCCGAGAGGAUUUACAUAGGAGACUCUUAAGUGCAGAUUUUAAGAAGCAAGUUGAUGGACUUCAAAAGCUGCAGAAGGCCCUUCCUUCCAUUGCUAAGGAAGUAAUAGAAGUUUUGGACAUUCUUCUAAGGUGGUUUUUGUUCGUUUUGCAAAUCAAACACAACAUGUCCAUUGAAGGUGCUGGAACUUAUUCCUGAACUGCUUGACACCUUGAAGGAGGAGGGUUACACUCUAACAGAAUCUGAAGUGGCAGUGUUUCUUCCAUGCCUUGUAGAGAAAGUUAAUAUUAGCAACUAUAUUUGUAGAAUGUUAUUAUUCCCAUGAACUUUUCUAAUGGUUUAUGUGAUUUCAACUAACUUUUGUUUUAAACUAAGGUACUAGGUUAUAUUAGUGUGCUUACUUUGGUGUUACAGAUGGCAAAGUAGAAGUUCAUUUUCUAUUUUAACGUUGCAGUUAGGGCAUAACAUUGAGAAAGUACGAGAAAAAAAUGCGCGAGCUGACCAAAAAGUUUGUUGCCAUAUAUAUUCAGCUUCUAAAUGUUUACCCUAUAUAUUAGAGGAUUUGCGCUCCAAGAAUAACCGAGCUCGAAUCGAAUGUGUUCAUCUGGUUUGAUUUAUUAUUAGAUCAUCGUGUUAUCGAGGUAUCGUCUAUUUUUCAAUUAUUUUCUAGUCACUGUUUUCCGUCAAUACUACUGACAUUAUGAUCUGUAUGGAACUGUUCUGGCAUUGGUGUGAUUGUGGAAAAGAAGGAAAAUAUGAAAUGAACAA
This is a long non-coding RNA of Vigna unguiculata (cowpea), 1180 nucleotides long. RefSeq lists it as uncharacterized. Lineage: Eukaryota; Viridiplantae; Streptophyta; Magnoliopsida; Fabales; Fabaceae. The record is from RefSeq and is a predicted model, not a curated record.